GACGGAGGGUGCUAGCGUUGUUCGGAUUUACUGGGCGUAAAGGGCGCGCAGGCGGCCCGGCGCGUCGGGUGUGAAAGCCCGGGGCUCAACCCCGGAACGGCACCCGAUACGGCCGGGCUCGAGGCCGGGAGAGGGUGGUGGAAUACCCAGUGUAGAGGUGAAAUUCGUAGAUAUUGGGUGGAACACCGGUGGCGAAAGCGGCCACCUGGCCCGGUCCUGACGCUGAGGCGCGAAAGCGUGGGGAG
Molecule: ribosomal RNA, 245 nt
Filed under: uncultured Geminicoccus sp.
Lineage: Bacteria; Pseudomonadati; Pseudomonadota; Alphaproteobacteria; Geminicoccales; Geminicoccaceae
Description: partial 16S ribosomal RNA
Rfam family: Bacterial small subunit ribosomal RNA
Source: RNAcentral